This 265-nucleotide ribosomal RNA is filed under the name uncultured bacterium. RNAcentral's name for it is "partial 16S ribosomal RNA". It matches the Rfam family "Bacterial small subunit ribosomal RNA", at positions 89 to 354 of the family's 1533-position model. The record is from RNAcentral.
UCUUUAGUGGCGGACGGGUGAGUAACGCGUGGGUAACCUGCCUUACACAGGGGGAUAACACUUAGAAAUAGGUGCUAAUACCGCAUAAGCGCACAGUCCCGCAUGGGACAGUGUGAAAAACUGAGGUGGUGUAAGAUGGACCCGCGUCUGAUUAGCUAGUUGGUGGGGUAACGGCCCACCAAGGCGACGAUCAGUAGCCGGCCUGAGAGGGUGAACGGCCACAUUGGGACUGAGACACGGCCCAAACUCCUACGGAAGGCAGCAG